This 500-nucleotide ribosomal RNA is filed under the name uncultured bacterium. RNAcentral's name for it is "partial 16S ribosomal RNA". It matches the Rfam family "Bacterial small subunit ribosomal RNA", at positions 29 to 523 of the family's 1533-position model. The record is from RNAcentral.
AUUGAACGCUGGCGGCAUGCCUUACACAUGCAAGUCGAACGGCAGCACGGGAGCAAUCCUGGUGGCGAGUGGCGAACGGGUGAGUAAAGUAUCGGAACGUGCCCAGUCGUGGGGGAUAACGUAGCGAAAGUUACGCUAAUACCGCAUACGAUCUAUGGAUGAAAGCGGGGGAUCGCAAGACCUCGCGCGAUUGGAGCGGCCGAUAUCAGAUUAGGUAGUUGGUGGGGUAAAGGCUCACCAAGACGACGAUCUGGAGCUGGUCUGAGAGGACGACCAGCCACACUGGGACUGAGACACGGCCCAGACUCCUACGGGAGGCAGCAGUGGGGAAUUUUGGACAAUGGGCGAAAGCCUGAUCCAGCCACGCCGCGUGCAGGAUGAAGGCCUUCGGGUUGUAAACUGCUUUUGUACGGAACGAAAAGGUUUGGGCUAAUAAGCUGAGCUCAUGACGGUACCGUAAGAAUAAGCACCGGCUAACUACGUGCCAGCAGCCGCGGUAA